RNAcentral lists this ribosomal RNA (391 nucleotides) under uncultured bacterium. RNAcentral describes it as "bacterial SSU rRNA". It matches the Rfam family "Bacterial small subunit ribosomal RNA", at positions 28 to 417 of the family's 1533-position model. The record is from RNAcentral.
GAUGAACGCUGGCGGCGUGCUUAACACAUGCAAGUCGAACGAUGAAGCCCAGCUUGCUGGGUGGAUUAGUGGCGAACGGGUGAGUAACACGUGAGCAACCUGCCCCUGACUCUGGGAUAAGCGCUGGAAACGGUGUCUAAUACUGGAUAUGUCCCAUCACCGCAUGGUGUGUGGGUGGAAAGAUUUUUUCGGUUGGGGAUGGGCUCGCGGCCUAUCAGCUUGUUGGUGAGGUAAUGGCUCACCAAGGCGUCGACGGGUAGCCGGCCUGAGAGGGUGACCGGCCACACUGGGACUGAGACACGGCCCAGACUCCUACGGGAGGCAGCAGUGGGGAAUAUUGCACAAUGGGCGCAAGCCUGAUGCAGCAACGCCGCGUGAGGGAUGACGGCCU